GACGAACGCUGGCGGCGUGCUUAACACAUGCAAGUCGAACGGAAAGGCCUGUCCUUCCUUGUGUUGGACGGGUACUCGAGUGGCGAACGGGUGAGUAACACGUGAGUGAUCUGCCCCCAACUUGGGUAUAAGCCUGGGAAACUGGGUCUAAUUCCCGAUAGGACUGCAGGGUGGUGCCUGUGGUGGAAAACGAUUUUCUAGUGGUUGGGGAUGAGCUCGCGGCCUAUCAGCUUGUUGGUGGGGUAAUGGCCUACCAAGGCGGCGACGGGUAGCCGGCCUGGGAGGGUGGACGGCCACAUUGGGACUGGGAUACGGCCCAGACUCCUACGGGAGGCAGCAGUGGGGAAUAUUGCACAAUGGGCGGAAGCCUGAUGCAGCGACGCCGGGUGGGGGAUGACGGCCUUCGGGUUGUAAACUCCUUUCGACCGCGAGGAAGCCGCCUGGUUGGAAGGGUGGUGACGGUAGUGGUAGAAGAAGCACUGGCUAACUACGUG
RNAcentral lists this ribosomal RNA (494 nucleotides) under uncultured bacterium. RNAcentral's name for it is "partial 16S ribosomal RNA". It matches the Rfam family "Bacterial small subunit ribosomal RNA", at positions 28 to 507 of the family's 1533-position model. The record is from RNAcentral.